UACGGGGGGAGCAAGCGUUGUUCGGAUUUACUGGGCGUAAAGGGCGCGUAGGCGGUCAGCACAAGUCAGUUGUGAAAUCUCCGUGCUUAACUCGGAAAGGUCAACUGAUACUGUGCGACUAGAGUGCAGAAGGGGCAACUGGAAUUCUUGGUGUAGCGGUGAAAUGCGUAGAUAUCAAGAGGAACACCUGCGGCGAAGGCGGGUUGCUGGGCCGACACUGACGCUGAGGCGCGAAAGCCAGGGGAGCGAACGGG
This 254-nucleotide ribosomal RNA is filed under the name uncultured bacterium. RNAcentral's name for it is "partial 16S ribosomal RNA". It matches the Rfam family "Bacterial small subunit ribosomal RNA", at positions 524 to 776 of the family's 1533-position model. The record is from RNAcentral.